This 1513-nucleotide long non-coding RNA is filed under the name Triticum aestivum (bread wheat). RNAcentral describes it as "long non-coding RNA (TAES_LNC002741)". Lineage: Eukaryota; Viridiplantae; Streptophyta; Magnoliopsida; Poales; Poaceae. The record is from RNAcentral.
AAAUUCUAUCCUCUGCUGCAGAUCAUCGCCAAGUCCUACAGCCUGGGUCAUCUCCAUCACCAACGCCUACAGCUUGGGUCUGAACCGCUCUUCUCUACUUCAUGUUUACUGAAUUUACUGAAUGUGCGUAGUCUCUGAACCACUUCUUCCCUGAUUACUGAAUUUUAGUGAAUGUGAGAUGUACUCUUGUAAACUGAGAUGUACCCUAGUAAAGUGUGCUGUCAACAUCACUUCUAGUUUAACUGAAGCAAGCAUACAUCUCUGUCCAGUGUUAGCUAAGGGCUAAGAUAUCUCUGUCCAGUGUUAGCUAAGAGCUAAGAUAUCUCUGUCCAGUAUUAGCUUAGAGAUUGUUGCAAGGAGACAUAUCUAUCCAGUGUUAGCUAAAUUCUCUUGGUCUCACAAUUGGUCUAUCUAUGCGUUGGUCUAUCUAUGCGUUGUCCAAUGAAAAUAUGCAUACACUGUACAGCAACAUAUUGAAAACAUUCGUGUUUCAAUAUAACUGAAUUUUCUGUUACAUACACUCUACACUUCUUCUUUAGCUGAAUUUUCUGUUACAUACACUCUGCAUUUCUGCUUUAACUGAAUUAAUUUUUCAGCUUUUGUACAGCAGCAUACUGAAAACAUUCACAUAUUGACAAAUCAUGACAUUACAAUCUGAUAAAUCAUGCUUGCAAAAUCUGACCAUUUACAUAGUGAACAGAAUUUCAUUUAACAGUAUAUUCAUAGUGAGCUAGCCCCAGCUUGUUGCCCUUAUGGCAGCAAUGAUGAAAUCUUGACCAUUCAUCACCAUGUUUCUUUGAAGAAAGCAAGGAAGAAAAUUUAAAACAAAAGGGCCCAAGAAGGUUCGAACUGAUGACCUUCUGAUCUGCACACAAAUUACAAUUUCUGAAACUGUCAUACACAGGAAUUCUGCACGCCAUCCAAAUUGAUCACUGUGAAAUUUGUCAGUUACAAAUUCUGCACACAAAUCAACAGUGAAGUGAUUGAUUCCUCCCUGUGUUAAUUCUGCUAUACACUAGCCCUGUGAAGUGAUUUAUGGUUACUUCAAAAACAGAAACAAAAUGAUUGUUUCCAAUAAUACUGGAACCAAUUUGUCAGUAGCAAUUUCCUGCCUUGAUUACUUCAAAACAGCAACAAUUUCCUCCCUUGAUUGACUGAAAAUUGGGCAGGUGAUAUUGAUCUGAGUAGGAUUUGAUUAAUUGUUCUCUGAAUUGAUUGAUUCCUCCCUUGAUUGAUCUAGGCAGGUAAUAUUAGGCAGGAUUUGAUUAAUUAUUCUCGGAAUUGAUUGUCUCCUCCCUUAGUUGACUGAACUGAUGCAUAUGGCAGGAUUUGAUUGAUUGGGUAGGAAAAUUACCAACUCCUGCGGCGUCGUGGAAGGAACAGCGCCAGGGAAGGAGCAGCAGUGGCCCCUGCGCUGUCUGACGGACGGUCGAUAGUCGACAGCGUGCUUUGUGAGGUGCUUUGUGAGGUGUAGUGCGGGUUAUUUUGUGCUAAGGCGAGGGGGGUAAUUGCA